Long non-coding RNA from Passer montanus (Eurasian tree sparrow), 547 nucleotides. RefSeq lists it as uncharacterized. The record is from RefSeq and is a predicted model, not a curated record. The transcript is spliced from 2 exons. Lineage: Eukaryota; Metazoa; Chordata; Aves; Passeriformes; Passeridae.
ACACCCGUGUGACACCCGUGUGACACCCGUGUGACACCCGUGUGACACCCGUGUGACACCCGUGUGACACCCGAGUGACACCCGAGUGACACCCACAGCUCUGCUCCAGCCCCCAGCGUGGCUCGGGGCUCUCCCGCAGCACAGGUGAGCAGAUCUCGGCCCGAGCCCCCCAAAAUCCCCAAGGAAAGCAGCAGGCGACGUCCAGCCCCCCAAAAUCCCCAAGGAAAGCAGCAGGUGACGUCCAGCCCCCCAAAAUCCCCCAAGGAAAGCAGCAGGUGACGUCCAGCCCUCCAAAUCCAUCCUGAAGUGAAGCACAACCGUCCCGGUUCAGGUAGCCCAAGGAGAGUUUUACUUAUCACAUCUCUAGGAACAACAGCCAGAAAAAAAGGAAAAAAAAGUAGAAAAAAAAUCUCUCGGCUUGCUGCAGGACACCAGGAGAAAUCCAACAUUCCGAUUCCCAAACAUCCUGGAAAAAAAACCCAAAAAACCAGAAAAAAACCACCAAAAAACCAAAAAAACCCAAACCAACCAACAAAAAAAACCCAAA